This 822-nucleotide ribosomal RNA is filed under the name uncultured bacterium. Its description in RNAcentral is "bacterial SSU rRNA". It matches the Rfam family "Bacterial small subunit ribosomal RNA", at positions 60 to 841 of the family's 1533-position model. The record is from RNAcentral.
AGUCGAGCGAGCUUGCCUAGAUGAUUUUAGUGCUUGCACUAAAUGAAACUAUAUACAAGCGAGCGGCGGACGGGUGAGUAACACGUGGGUAACCUGCCCAAGAGACUGGGAUAACACCUGGGAACAGAUGCUAAUACCGGAUAACAACACUAGACGCAUGUCUAGAGUUUGAAAGAUGGUUCUGCUAUCACUCUUGGAUGGACCUGCGGUGCAUUAGCUAGUUGGUAAGGUAACGGCUUACCAAGGCAAUGAUGCAUAGCCGAGUUGAGAGACUGAUCGGCCACAUUGGGACUGAGACACGGCCCAAACUCCUACGGGAGGCAGCAGUAGGGAAUCUUCCACAAUGGACGAAAGUCUGAUGGAGCAACGCCGCGUGAGUGAAGAAGGGUUUCGGCUCGUAAAGCUCUGUUGGUAGUGAAGAAAGAUAGAGGUAGUAACUGGCCUUUAUUUGACGGUAAUUACUUAGAAAGUCACGGCUAACUACGUGCCAGCAGCCGCGGUAAUACGUAGGUGGCAAGCGUUGUCCGGAUUUAUUGGGCGUAAAGCGAGUGCAGGCGGUUCAAUAAGUCUGAUGUGAAAGCCUUCGGCUCAACCGGAGAAUUGCAUCAGAAACUGUUGAACUUGAGUGCAGAAGAGGAGAGUGGAACUCCAUGUGUAGCGGUGGAAUGCGUAGAUAUAUGGAAGAACACUAGUGGCGAAGGCGGCUCUCUGGUCUGCAACUGACGCUGAGGCUCGAAAGCAUGGGUAGCGAACAGGAUUAGAUACCCUGGUAGUCCAUGCCGUAAACGAUGAGUGCUAAGUGUUGGGAGGUUUCCGCCUCUC